CCGUACGGCACCGGCCUGCGGCGAGGCGUGGAGCUCUUUGCGCCAGGAGCUUGCUGAAGCCGCUCGGCCAAUCAGAAACUUCCAGCCUCAGACCUGCCCCACAACCCCAAGCCCUCGCAUGGAGUCGCAUCGGAGGUGCGGAGAAAAGGAAGAGGGGGAAGCCACUGUGAUGCCCGCCCCAGGGUGGGGAGGCAAGGUCCGCAGGUGUUGAUGAGGAAGCCUGAACGUCAACAUUCUUUACGCGGAGACCUCGGCUCUGCAGCCUUCCUUCCACGGUGGUGGGCAUCUUGCCAAUUUGCAGGACCAAGAAAGAAGCCCAGCUGCUCUCAAGAGGACCCGAACUUCAAAUUUAAACCCACCUCCUCUCAUUGCGUCCGGCCUUUUGGGCUUACAGCAUUUCAAUAGGAGCGGGGUGGGGUGGGGUG
RNAcentral lists this long non-coding RNA (425 nucleotides) under Mus caroli (Ryukyu mouse). RNAcentral's name for it is "lncRNA (MGP_CAROLIEiJ_G0003013.1)". The record is from RNAcentral. Lineage: Eukaryota; Metazoa; Chordata; Mammalia; Rodentia; Muridae.